AAAACGGGUGGUAAUGCCGGAUGUUCCAGUUGAUCGCAUGGUCUUCUGGGAAAGCUUUCGCGGUAUGGGAUGGGGUCGCGUCCUAUCAGCUUGACGGCGGGGUAACGGCCCACCGUGGCUUCGACGGGUAGCCGGCCUGAGAGGGCGACCGGCCACAUUGGGACUGAGAUACGGCCCAGACUCCUACGGGAGGCAGCAGUGGGGAAUAUUGCACAAUGGGCGCAAGCCUGAUGCAGCGACGCCGCGUGAGGGAUGGAGGCCUUCGGGUUGUAAACCUCUUUUAUCGGGGAGCAAGCGUGAGUGAGUUUACCCGUUGAAUAAGCACCGGCUAACUACGUGCCAGCAGCCGCGGUAAUACGUAGGGUGCAAGCGUUAUCCGGAAUUAUUGGGCGUAAAGGGCUCGUAGGCGGUUCGUCGCGUCCGGUGUGAAAGUCCAUCGCUUAACGGUGGAUCCGCGCCGGGUACGGGCGGGCUUGAGUGCGGUAGGGGAGACUGGAAUUCCCGGUGUAACGGUGGAAUGUGUAGAUAUCGAAAA
RNAcentral lists this ribosomal RNA (535 nucleotides) under Bifidobacterium longum. RNAcentral's name for it is "bacterial SSU rRNA". It matches the Rfam family "Bacterial small subunit ribosomal RNA", at positions 153 to 703 of the family's 1533-position model. The record is from RNAcentral. Lineage: Bacteria; Bacillati; Actinomycetota; Actinomycetes; Bifidobacteriales; Bifidobacteriaceae.